RNAcentral lists this long non-coding RNA (967 nucleotides) under Callithrix jacchus (white-tufted-ear marmoset). RNAcentral describes it as "lncRNA (ENSCJAG00000081078.1)". The record is from RNAcentral. Lineage: Eukaryota; Metazoa; Chordata; Mammalia; Primates; Cebidae.
CCUGCUUCUUCCAGGGAAGUUUUAAGAGUUUUAGUUUUACUUUUAGAGUUUAAGCCAUUGAAUUCCUAAGGGCUAACAAGGGAUUUCAUCCUGUGCACUGAAAAUGACAGUCUUGUUGUCAUACAACCUUGGGUCUGAGCCCAACUCUAUCAUUUAAAAGCUGCAUGACUGGCUGGGUGCAGUGGCUCACACCUGUAAUCCCAGUACUUUGGGAGGCCUAGGCAGGUGGAUUACCUGAGGUCAGGAGUUUGAGACCAGCCUGGCCAACAUGGUAAAACCCCGUCUCUACUAAAAGUACAAAAAUUAGUUGGGCAGGGUGGCGGGCAUCUGUAAUCCUAUCUACUCAGGAGUCUAAGACAUGAGAAUUGCUUGAACCCAGGAGGUGGAGGUUGCAGUGAGCCAAGAUUGUGCUAUUGCCCUCAAGAGCAAAAUUCCGUCUUAAAAAAAAAACAAAAAACCAAAAACACUGCAUGACCUACUUGGAAAGCUACUUAAUCUCUCUGUGCCUCUGUUUCUUCAUAGGGAAAUAAAUGUGCAGAAAGUUUAUUGUAGUGUGUUUCCGGGAGCAGCAUCUGCUGGGGAAGAGAAGGAAGUAGAGUUGGACAGAGGAAGAAGCUGAGCAGCAAUGUAGGCGAUGCCGAGCCCUGAAGCUGGAUGGCUUUGCAGAGUGGUACUGACUUAGGAUGAGGGGGAAGAGGCCUUUAGAGCACCAUACUGACCACUCAUUGGAUCUGGGGCUUGACCUUGGGAAAAAGAAGGUAGACUUGGUGUCCUGUGAUAGAAGAAAAAGCAGAAUUAUGAAAUGCAUACGGCUCUGUAGCCCACAAAGGAACUACAGGGGAUAGCGACCCAGCCUGUUCAUCUUAAGCGGGGUGGUGGGAGAUUGGCAGCAGAGGGGAAGCGUCAGCCUGGAAGAAGGUGAGGAGCUGAAAUGAAUUGUGAAGAAGCUUGUGGAUAUUCCUCCCCA